RNAcentral lists this ribosomal RNA (254 nucleotides) under uncultured bacterium. RNAcentral describes it as "partial 16S ribosomal RNA". It matches the Rfam family "Bacterial small subunit ribosomal RNA", at positions 524 to 776 of the family's 1533-position model. The record is from RNAcentral.
UACGUAGGGUGCAAGCGUUGUCCGGAUUUACUGGGCGUAAAGGGCGCGUAGGCGGCCAGCGCAAGUCAGUUGUGAAAUCUCCGGGCUUAACUCGGAACGGUCAACUGAUACUGCGCGGCUAGAGUGCAGAAGGGGCAACUGGAAUUCUCGGUGUAGCGGUGAAAUGCGUAGAUAUCGAGAGGAACACCUGCGGCGAAGGCGGGUUGCUGGGCUGACACUGACGCUGAUGCGCGAAAGCCAGGGGAGCGAACGGG